RNAcentral lists this ribosomal RNA (581 nucleotides) under Pristimantis sp. A RVM-2017. RNAcentral's name for it is "partial 16S ribosomal RNA". It matches the Rfam family "Bacterial large subunit ribosomal RNA", at positions 1808 to 2605 of the family's 2925-position model. Lineage: Eukaryota; Metazoa; Chordata; Amphibia; Anura; Strabomantidae. The record is from RNAcentral.
CAAAAACAUCGCCUCUUGCCACCAUAAGAGGUCUAGCCUGCCCAGUGACCCUGUUCAACGGCCGCGGUAUCCUAACCGUGCGAAGGUAGCGUAAUCACUUGUCUUCUAAAUAAAGACUAGUAUGAAAGGCAUCACGAAGACUAAGCUGUCUCCUUUUUCCAAUCUGUGAACCUAAUCUCCCCGUGAAGAAGCGGGGAUUUUACCAUAAGACGAGAAGACCCUAUGGAGCUUAAAACACUAUAACACCUGCCUCCCCCCCUCCCACUACCCAGAUACUUUACCCCGCGGCACCCUGAUUAUAUGUUUUUGGUUGGGGUGACCGCGGAGAAUAAUACAUCCUCCACGAUGAAGGGAUUAACCCCCUAAGCAACAAGCCUACAACUUUAUGCAUUAAUAAAUUAACAUCUAUUGACCCAUUACUUUGAUUAACGAACCCAGUUACCCUAGGGAUAACAGCGCAAUCCACUUUGAGAGCUCCUAUCGACAGGUGGGCUUACGACCUCGAUGUUGGAUCGGGGUACCCCGGUGGUGCAGCCGCUACUAAAGGUUCGUUUGUUCAACGAUUAAAACCCCACGUGAUC